Mytilus californianus (California mussel) is the source of this 1450-nucleotide long non-coding RNA. RefSeq lists it as uncharacterized. The record is from RefSeq and is a predicted model, not a curated record. Lineage: Eukaryota; Metazoa; Mollusca; Bivalvia; Mytilida; Mytilidae. The transcript has 2 exons.
GCACGGUAGUAUUUGCUUCCCACGUUUUAGGUUGCUCCUUUGUGUACCCUACUUAGGUGAAUACUUAUGACACUGUGAUUGGACAUUGAAAUGGAUUAUCAACCAGAAACAUUUUUUUCAAGUAUUUUAACCAAUAAUGAGUAUGAAAAAUGCCUAUUUUUAAAUCUAACUAUAGACAUAAAUUUUUGACAAUUUUUUAAAAAUAUUACAUUUACUGCGGCCAAAUAUGAUGUAAAUGACUGGUUCCCUUAGACUGGUGACAAUAGCUAAAAAAGUAAACGGUCAUGAUGGUGUUUCUCAUUUAUUUCUGAAUAUCUGAAUGAAAGUACUUCAAGUUACAGUAGGUUUUGGGUCUUGGGGAGUGUUAGAAAGUGAUGAAAAUCUGUAAAAUGUUACUAUUGUCGCCUAUGGCAGGGAAAUACUACCGUGCCACCUUAACCGAGAUACAUGUCUCCAAUGUUGUCAUGGUAAUUGCCGCUGUAUUCAAAUUCUUUUCUGUUUUUUUAUACAUGUAGCCUAAGUCAUUAAUUAUGGAAGCAUUCUUUGAAAACAUUUUACUUGAAUUAUGCAGAAAAAGCUCAAUUUUACCCCUCGGCAAUAAAUGCAUGCAGUGGAAUGGUGCCUGUUCUGAAGCUGGCUAUGGCCGAAAGAGAGUAACCUGGCCAGAUGGAAAAAAAACUGUUGAAAAGACUCAUAGACUUGUAUAUAUGGCAUACAAUAAAAUAUUACGUCCUCAUUUACAAAAUAAAAAUGAAUAUGGAGAACAAUUAGAUGUCAGUCAUCUAUGCAACAAUAAGAAAUGUAUCCUAAUUGAACAUCUUGUGCAUGAGCCUCAUUGUAUAAAUAUGAACAGAAAUGAAUGUUUUAAAAAUGGAAACUGUUCAAAACUGCACUAUCCGCACUGCAUGGUAUGAUACAAAAGGUAUUCCUAUGAUUUUUUAGCCUUUUUUGUGUACGCUUCAUGAUCACCUCUUGCUGUGUCGGCCAGUUUUUGUCGAAUAUUUUUUUGGCUCUCAAGUAGCAUACCCUUCUCAUAUUUAUUUACCUCCUGAUUUUUGGAGUAUAAAUCAAAUUUUGCUUUAGAUUUUUGUUUCCUUUUCUUCAUAUAUUUAGCUAAUUUUUUAUAUUGUUUGUGGUUCUCAUAUAUUUUUUGUUCUUGCUGUAGGUGUGUGUGUACUUUUGAUCCAGCUGUGACCGGUGCACCAACAGACAAGCAUAAAGCCAUCACGGAUUCACCCGGCCCAUGGUUUGCUGAAGAUACAGCGCCAAUCGCCCUGCCUUGGAAAUUUUUACUGAACGUAUUACUUCUAGAGUUGAAAACUGGAUUUCCGCAGCAUAUGGCUAGUCGUUUGAUUUCCCUCAGUUUUCAUGGAAUGGAUGUAAGAACAACUUAAGAUUUCUCAGACAGUUUCAGAAAUGAUUAUAGAUAGUGAAUAAAAGAUAUCUACAG